GUCCAGGGGCGGGAAUCGAACCCACAACCUUCUGCUUACCGGGCAGGUGCCAUGUCCACUAGGCUACCCUAGA
Non-coding RNA from Cordylochernes scorpioides, 73 nucleotides. NCBI's taxonomy places the organism in Eukaryota, Metazoa, Arthropoda, Arachnida, Pseudoscorpiones, Chernetidae. The record is from the annotation of a GenBank genome assembly.